Small RNA from Cladophialophora carrionii, 291 nucleotides. It matches the Rfam family "5' ureB small RNA". The record is from Rfam. Lineage: Eukaryota; Fungi; Ascomycota; Eurotiomycetes; Chaetothyriales; Herpotrichiellaceae.
UCGUAAGCCUGCUGAGGACAGAUCAAGUGGAUGUGUGAGUCGAACCCGCCGGCGGUGACAAUGCUGUGUUCGCCUGCAAUGACAUCUGUGCCGUUCCCGACGACCAGGUUUGGAUCGACACCUUCCAUGACGUCGGGGUUGCCAGCUUUGCCGAUGCCCGCGAUCACACCGUUCUUGAUACCGAUGUCAGCUUUGUAGAUGCCAGACCAGUCCACGAUCAGAGCAUUGGUGAUGACCGUGUCGAGUACAUCUUCAUCUUUACGGUCAGACGCCUGACCCAUGCCAUCGCGA